This 45-nucleotide non-coding RNA is filed under the name Schistosoma haematobium. Lineage: Eukaryota; Metazoa; Platyhelminthes; Trematoda; Strigeidida; Schistosomatidae. The record is from RNAcentral.
AUCCAGCUGAUGAGUCCGAAAUAGGACGAAACGCUUGUCCUAAAU